This 460-nucleotide ribosomal RNA is filed under the name uncultured bacterium. RNAcentral's name for it is "partial 16S ribosomal RNA". It matches the Rfam family "Bacterial small subunit ribosomal RNA", at positions 338 to 795 of the family's 1533-position model. The record is from RNAcentral.
CCUACGGGUGGCAGCAGUGAGGAAUAUUGGUCAAUGGACGAGAGUCUGAACCAGCCAAGUAGCGUGAAGGAUGACUGCCCUAUGGGUUGUAAACUUCUUUUAUAAAGGAAUAAAACGAGGCACGUGUGCCUUUUUGUAUGUACUUUAUGAAUAAGGAUCGGCUAGCUCCGUGCCAGCAGCCGCGGUAAUACGGAGGAUCCGAGCGUUAUCCGGAUUUAUUGGGGUUAAAGGGAGCGUAGAUGGGUUGUUAAGUCAGUUGUGAAAGUUUGCGGCUCAACCGUAAAAUUGCAGUUGAUACUGGCAGUCUUGAGUACAGUAGAGGUAGGCGGAAUUCGUGGUGUAGCGGUGAAAUGCUUAGAUAUCACGAAGAACCCCGAUUGCGAAGGCAGCUUACUAAACUGUGACUGACAUUGAUGCUCGAAAGUGUGGGUAUCAAACAGGAUUAGAUACCCGGGUAGUC